UCUAAGAUAAAGGAAAUAUUUAAAUAAAAAGAAGGAUGUUAGUUCUAUGUAAGGUAGCUAAUCGAACGUCGAAACACGAUGACCCGAGCGACGGAAAAUUGUAUUAUCGGGACGGUUAGCGUACGUAGGUGCGAUCCGAAUGUUCCUUGGCCAAAUUCUUGGCACGCUGCACGGUUGCACCGUUGCUCGAGCUGCUCGCCGAUUCCAAACGAUUCGAGGGCCUCGUUACACUGGCUUCGUUUACAGAACUCCAGCCGAUGGUUCUCCAAACGAUCGCCGGUCGAAACGUCGAUCGUCCUCGAUUCGACUCGCAUCUCAGUUAGACGGCCGACCCGAUCGAUGGUCGCGUCGCACGGUGAAAUGCGUGAAAUUGUUGACAACGCGGGAGGCGAAAACGCGCGCACCUUGCGCCUGCUGCUCGCUCCAGCAACCCAGAUCUCCGCGCCAUGGAAAUGUACCGUUAAAACGUGGCACGGACCCGCAGCCGUUACUCCUGUUCGACGAAUCGUCGGUCAACAGGAACUCUCGCUCCCCCUCUGUCACCGACGCCCGUUCUGACCGAUGGAUCGCAGGAUAUCCGGACGAUUCCCCGCGGUAGACCCUAUCGGAGAAGCACGGAGCAACGAUUUUUCGCGCGGUCGUGCUCCGAAGGAAGAUCGGCGACAAAUGGGUCGAUGCGAUCUCGCGGAAGAGACAACCGGAGUUGUGGCAACCGUCCAAGGAUUGGCAACGCGUUCGUCGUGACGAAACAGCAUUCGACUGUAUCGAUGAAAAAACUUCACGGUUCGCGGACUUCGCGAUGCCGAUAUCAUCCAUUAUGCUCGCGAGUUGAGCCGCGAUAAACGACUUCCGGCGUACUUCUUAUGGUGCUGCUCCAUAUUCACGUUGCGACGCGGUUCCACGAGCGAAAGUACUUCCACGGCUAAAUUAUUAUCGGCACGCGGUGCGGUAGCAGGAAGAGCUCGUCCUUCGAGGAUACAGGAACACUCCAAACGCGGAACGGUCAAUAAUUCGUAACACUGUCAGUGUCGAGAACGGGCACCAAGUCCCGCGACCUUGGAAGACACGAGUCCCAGGACCUCUCGAACGACCACAUUCCUCUUACGCGAUGUUGAGAAACUACGCGUAGGAAGUGUUCGUCGAAACCUUGUCAGAGUCUGCGUUAUUAUACGGAGGAUGAUUUGUAAAAAGUAUUCGAAACGAUAUCUUUUCGAUGCACAGCCAAGCAUUGAUUUUUGCGCAAAUAAGAUGUUACUCGAACGAUCCGCGUUUUAUCGCCCAGGAUCGAAGUUGCAAAAUUGUUUAACGGGUCGCGACUGUCGAAGUGGACCAAGUGGUAACGCGAGCGGGAAACCUACGCUUGUGUUACACACUUUUGCUCGCUGAAUCAACGAUCCCGAUAAACGCGCGCGUAACAUUCUCACAGUCGUCGCCGCUUUCAAACUUGGGCGUCUCGCUGCAUUGUUGCGCGCCUUUUGCAUAAUUCGACUUCCGGCAUUCCGAGGUUUUCGCCCGCGUAUCUACGAAGCGGCACGGUUUUGUCGGCGAAAGUGCCUAUUGAUGGCGUAUGAUCGACUAACGACGACGGCAGGAAAAACGUCGAUGAUCCAACGAACCGUCCCUCGGACUCGCUGGCCUCCCUCUUCGACGCGUGGUGGAUCUGCGGUUUCGCGAAAGGGGCCAGUGGUGCGUCGGAUACGUCCGACAGGAUUACCCGCGUGUUCUUAUAUCGGUGAGAAGGAAAUCGACGUAACUCGAGUAUCGCGUUUUUAUACCGGCGAUCCCUGCUACUGGGAUACCAACGGCUGCUUGAUUCUCAUUAAUCUUCGAUGCCAUUGACUUUGGUUGGACGCGUUGUGUGAAAAAAUCGCAAAGAAAAAAUCCCGCGCGAAGCAAGGACACGCCGUAUCGCAAGUGCACGGGAGGUACGCGGACUACCGAGGCCGAUCGCGAGCACUAUUCUUUCUUCUCCUACGUCUCGGGACGGCAAAUGAGAAUUUCGUGGCUCGUCGGGACCUCGAGGUGCUCGGCUUAAUAAGGAUCCUUUGGAGUAGUCGACGACUAGACGCGGGAAGACUUCUCCGAGACGGAACAGGGAGAGGGUAAUAACAGCGAUGAAGAAGAAGGCACUCCGAGAGGACGCCUCCGGCACUUUUCUCCUGGCUUAAUCGUUAUGGAAAGUCGGAGGAUAAUAUGGGACGUCGGCGUGCUGCAGAAUCUUGUAGGAUCGCCGCGUAGCCGGCAUUCUCCGCGAACCGAGAGAAAUAAACGAGCGACUCUGAAUUUAUUCCACGAACGCCGAAGUGAAAACCUUCUGUCCUCGUUUAAUCAACGGUAAGACGUAAAAACUGUCGUAUCGUCGCGUUGGCUCCGAAUGCUCAGGAUUCCUCGUUGCCGAAGGUGUACGAGUACGGGAUAACGCCUGUCUCGAAGAAUCGCACGUAGUGGUGUUUAUUCCGCGGAUAACGCCGAAAAUACGCAUUUCUUCGAAGCGGCGAGGAUAAUAAUACAGGUGUACCGCAGCAUCUCGUUGGAGCAGGACGCUCCGUAGCCCACAUUGCCGAAGUAAGCUGCGGUGUCGGUAGCGGUGGGUUCGAGACGCCAUCGCAGCGUUUCGUUGCUUCGAGCGCACACCCGUGUCUGACUUUUUUUUUAAAUUGAAGGAAAUUGAAAAUCUGGAGUGAUCCGAAUCGAUAGAAAAAAGGUUUUAUCUAGAAUAAAACAGUCGAAUAAAAAAAAAAAAUUGAUGUAUUUACAAUAGGUGUGUCGACUGACAUAUCGGAAGAUAAGGAUGAAUAUUUUUGCGUGUAACGUUAUCAACGCGAACGUUAUCUAAAAAAUGUUUUCGGUGAACGUAAAAGCACGUGAAAUCUCACGGGUGCGAA
Long non-coding RNA from Hylaeus anthracinus, 2885 nucleotides. RefSeq lists it as uncharacterized. NCBI's taxonomy places the organism in Eukaryota, Metazoa, Arthropoda, Insecta, Hymenoptera, Colletidae. The transcript has 3 exons. The record is from RefSeq and is a predicted model, not a curated record.